Molecule: ribosomal RNA, 460 nt
Filed under: uncultured Bacteroidota bacterium
Lineage: Bacteria; Pseudomonadati; Bacteroidota
Description: bacterial SSU rRNA
Rfam family: Bacterial small subunit ribosomal RNA
Source: RNAcentral
CCUACGGGCGGCUGCAGUGAGGAAUAUUGGUCAAUGGGCGCAAGCCUGAACCAGCCAUCCCGCGUGAAGGAUGACGGCCCUAUGGGUUGUAAACUUCUUUUCUGUACCAAGAAACAAUCCCUCGUGAGGGGUCUUGACGGUAGUACAGGAAUAAGCACCGGCUAACUCCGUGCCAGCAGCCGCGGUAAUACGGAGGGUGCAAGCGUUAUCCGGAUUUAUUGGGUUUAAAGGGUGCGUAGGCGGAUUGAUAAGUCAGUGGUGAAAUCCUGCAGCUUAACUGUAGAACUGCCAUUGAUACUGUUAAUCUUGAGUAUAGUUGAGGUAGGCGGAAUGAGUAGUGUAGCGGUGAAAUGCUUAGAUAUUACUCAGAACACCGAUUGCGAAGGCAGCUUGCCAAGCUAUCACUGACGCUGAUGCACGAAAGCGUGGGGAUCGAACAGGCUUAGAUACCCUUGUAGUC